GACGAACGCUGGCGGCGUGCUUAACACAUGCAAGUCGAACGGAAAGGCCCUGCUUUUGUGGGGUGCUCGAGUGGCGAACGGGUGAGUAACACGUGAGUAACCUGCCCUUGACUUUGGGAUAACUUCAGGAAACUGGGGCUAAUACCGGAUAGGAGCUCCUGCUGCAUGGUGGGGGUUGGAAAGUUUCGGCGGUUGGGGAUGGACUCGCGGCUUAUCAGCUUGUUGGUGGGGUAGUGGCUUACCAAGGCUUUGACGGGUAGCCGGCCUGAGAGGGUGACCGGCGACAUUGGGACUGAGAUACGGCCCAGACUCCAACGGGAGGCAGCAGUGGGGAAUAUUGCACAAUGGGCGGAAGCCUGAUGCAGCAGCGCCGCGUGCGGGAUGACGGCCUUCGGGUUGUAAACCGCUUUCGCCUGUGACGAAGCGUGAGUGACGGUAAUGGGUAAAGAAGCACCGGCUAACUACGUG
This 468-nucleotide ribosomal RNA is filed under the name uncultured bacterium. RNAcentral's name for it is "partial 16S ribosomal RNA". It matches the Rfam family "Bacterial small subunit ribosomal RNA", at positions 28 to 507 of the family's 1533-position model. The record is from RNAcentral.